Small nucleolar RNA from Zingiber officinale, 107 nucleotides. The record is from RefSeq and is a predicted model, not a curated record. Lineage: Eukaryota; Viridiplantae; Streptophyta; Magnoliopsida; Zingiberales; Zingiberaceae.
AAUCCAUGAUGUGGGCAUUAUCUAAUCAUAUUAUUAAAUCUAUCCCAUUCUUCAAAUAGUGAUUCAAAGUCUGACUAUCUGAAGCUUGCUAUCAAAUUUCUCAUAUG